AGAGAUUAAAAAAUAAAGGGGAGAAUGAUUAUGUGUAUGGUGGUCAUGUAUAUAUGUGUUGUCCAUAUACAUGCCAAUAAAUGAUUGACGAACAAUUAAGACCGAGUGAAUCGAUUUCUUUUUUUCCUUUCCUUUGUAUAUAUGUAUUAUAUUAUAUAAACAACAACUUCUCAGAAAGAAGAGAAGCAAAAUACGUCUAAAGGUUGCUUGUUUUCUUCUCUUCAUCUGCUGAUUUUGGCUGUCCCUUUUAUACUCGUCUCUUGGGUCUUUCUGGGUUUUAACUUAAAUCUUUCCUCUUGGUGCCUUCUGGGUUCUAUCCGGAAGUCUUUCUCUCUAGGAGCUAAGAAAAGAGAUUGUUGAAGAUGGCUGCCGCCUCAUCAUCUGCUUCUUUCUUUCGGUCUAGGGAGGAAAAUCAAAACCAGAUGAUGCAACAAAAUUCAUCCACGGCUGCUCCAACCACUGCACCUCAAAAGAAAAAGAGAAAUCAACCUGGAGCACCAAGCAAGUAGCUAGCUUUUUACAUCCAAUAUGUCAUCAAUUAGCAAAAGCCACAAUUCUAUUGCUCAUUAGUGAAACCCUAUUUCUAAUUUUUCUGGGCUAAUUCAAUUUGCAUCGAUAUGGUUUUAUUAAUUUUUUAGGGAUAAAUAAUUGAAGCAUUGAAAUGAUCUAUUUUUUUUCAUUUUCUUUAUCUUCCUCAUUCAACUAUGUCUUCUUCUUCUUCUCCUUUUUUUUUCCUUUUUAAUAUUUUUGUUUUGGCAUUUCUCAUUGCAGAUCCAGAUGCAGAGGUUAUAGCACUAUCUCCCAAGACGCUAAUGGCAACAAAUAGGUUCAUAUGCGAGGUAUGCAACAAAGGGUUUCAAAGGGAGCAAAACUUGCAGCUCCACAGAAGAGGACACAACCUGCCUUGGAAGCUAAAGCAGAAGACUACAAAAGAAGUGAAGAGGAAAGUCUAUUUGUGCCCUGAGCCCACAUGCGUUCACCAUGACCCUUCUAGGGCUCUCGGUGACCUUACUGGCAUCAAAAAGCACUACUCUAGAAAACAUGGAGAGAAGAAAUGGAAGUGUGAGAAGUGCUCUAAGAGAUACGCUGUUCAAUCUGAUUGGAAAGCUCACUCAAAGACCUGUGGCACUAGAGAGUACAGAUGUGACUGUGGCACUCUCUUCUCAAGGCGUGAUAGUUUCAUCACUCAUAGGGCAUUCUGCGACGCACUUGCUCAAGAGAGUGCAAGGCAUCCUACCAGCCUGAGCACCAUAGGUACCCAUCUCUAUGGAAAUAACCACAUGUGCCUCGGCCUAUCUCAAGUGGGUUCUCAAAUUCCACCAUUGCAAGAUCAGAACCACCCAACUAGUAAAAUGUUGCGGCUGGGAAGCGCUGGAGCGGCCAAAUUCGAGCACAUAAUCCCUCCAUCCAAUUCUUCUUCCGCUUUCUUCAUGUCGGAUGCCAACCAAGUUUCAUUUCCAAAUAAAUCCUUACAUGGGCUAAUGCAACUUCCUGAUCUUCAAAGCACCACCAACAACUCGUCUUCUACCAAUCUCUUCAACCUUGGCUACUUUUCAAAUAACGCAGCUGCUCCCAACCGAAUGAGUAACAGCGAUAAUGCCAAUUCAAGCACCACAACCACCAACUUGGUGAAUUACCGCUUCUUGAAUCCAAAUCCAUUCAACAAUGGCAAUGGUGGACAAGGGAUGACAACCCUUUUCGACAAUAACAUGGGUGAUCAUGUUGGGUCAGCUGGUAUCCCCUCUCUUUAUAGUAAUUCGAUGCAACAAGAAAACAUCACCCCUCACAUGUCUGCCACAGCAUUGCUUCAAAAAGCUGCUCAAAUGGGUUCAACGACAAGCAGCAACAAUUCUAAUUUGCUUAGAGCCCUGGGUGGCUCUCCAUCAACCGGCACUAAAUCCGAUAGGCCACCUCUUGUGUCUACUAAUAACUUCGGCAGCAAUAGUUUUGGCAAUGCAACUGUUGGGGAGGGUGGGCUAGGAGCACAGAUGGAAAGUGACAACCAACUUCAAGGAUUGAUGAAUUCUCUUGCCAACGGGGGUUCUUCCUUUUUCGGUGGUGGACCCGGACAAGAUAACGGCUUCGGAGGGUUUACCAGCAGCGGAAUCUCAUUGGAACAGCCCCAUAAUAGCACGAAUUUUAGCAAUGUAGAGGAGGCAAAUUUGCAUCAAACUCUUGGCGUAGGGUCAGAUAAACUGACCUUAGAUUUUCUUGGCGUAGGGGGAAUGGUAAGAAGCAUUGGUGGAGGGCAGCAUGGCAUCAAUUUAAGCCCAGUGGACACAGAAAUAAAAUCGGCACAAGCAAUUAAUAAACCUUUUUGAAGGGCGAAAAGUCUUUGGGAAGAAAAACAAGGCAGAUCUGGGCAGUUUUAGGAAAAAAGCAGCAAGAAUUGUUCGUUAUUGUAAUUAUAGACAGAAACUCAUGCGGCAGCUUUGUCGUAAUUCUUGUCUUUUCUUUCUCUUUGUGGAAUCAUCAGUCCGUGACUGUGAAACUGUGUGAUGUCUACUUCUUACUCUCCUUUUUCUAUUUUCAAACUUCACUACAUUUUCGUUAAUGAAAAAUUAUUGUUUCAUCCCUGAACUAUAUCAUAAUUAAUAUUUACAUUCUAAAUUUUAAUUUCAUCAUAUAUAUACUUUCGUCCUUUUAUUUAUUUUUCU
This 2657-nucleotide unclassified non-coding RNA is filed under the name Hevea brasiliensis (rubber tree). The record is from RNAcentral. Lineage: Eukaryota; Viridiplantae; Streptophyta; Magnoliopsida; Malpighiales; Euphorbiaceae.